UGCAGUUCUAAAGCAUAUUUAAAAAAUAACAUGCAAAGUUUAUAUUAAUAGGAAGAAUGGUAUGUAGUGCAGCACCGCAUUAACAAUGUAUACAUUUAUUUUAAAUAUUGAUAUACAUAAAUUUUAUUUGUCCCCGUGACCUGUAUAAAAGACAACUACCCACAAUGCAGUUCGAAAAUGGCGGGAACUACCAAAUUCAAACGUUACCUCGACGUUUCAGGAUUGGGGAAAAAUAGAGAAAACUGGAAAAGAUUCUGUGUUUUAAUGAUACAGCUAAUCAGCUAUACACUUAUGGAAACAUGGUGCAAAAGAAACACAACAGAUUCCUACAGAACAUAAUUGGGUAAGUCAACACUUUUCAAUUGCAGUCAGUGUAACACGAAGGUAUACUGAACAAAAGCCUUACUUUCUUAUCUAUUUGUAAUGUUCACAUACACUCCACAGUACAUAUUAAGCUGGCUGGCUAUAAACACCAGAAACAGGUGGAUUAAAAAUAAAUCAGAUAGUUAUUUUGUUAAGCUGGUAGAACCAAAUUUAACAACAAUAUUGUGUUACAUUUCAUGCACAAUGAUUUCGUAGAUAUAUAUAUAUGGCAAAUUGUGUAAGGCACAUGAUAAAUUGAUAAUAACAAAAAACGUAUUAUUUAGUUAGAAUUACCGCCAAAAUCACGAAAAAAAUUCAUGUUAGAUUAGUUGACACAAUAAAGAACAGUAUUAUGGCGUUGUUUUAAGCAAUAUUUCGCUGGGUAUUUUACUACAUAGUUAGUUCUAGGGAGACACAAAUCAAUAAGAAAACAGUGGGGUAUAAAUGGUUUAACUGCAUUAUUGCACAGGAACAUUCAAGAUUAAUUCUUAUUAAAAUAUUAUCACUAAAAAUAUCCAGUUGUAAUUGGUAAUAUUAUAUCUAUGGACAAUUCUAUGUGUGAAGCUGCUACAAUUUGCAUGUAUGUCAUUGGUUCUUAACUUUUCUGCUGUGAUGCAUUUAGAAAUGCUUGCUAGCCUACAACCCCCCACUACAGACUCUUGGAGACAUUUUUACCAAAGUUAUAAUUAUUUAUCUUAGAAUGCAACUCCUUGGAAAAAUUUAAAUAACGCACCAGUUGUUUCGACACAUAGUUGAAGAUAAAACUAAUGUAUCGCAUUCUAAUAAACAUGGUGUUGCA
Non-coding RNA from Ciona intestinalis (vase tunicate), 1162 nucleotides. The record is from RefSeq and is a predicted model, not a curated record. Lineage: Eukaryota; Metazoa; Chordata; Ascidiacea; Phlebobranchia; Cionidae.